Molecule: non-coding RNA, 26 nt
Filed under: Cricetulus griseus (Chinese hamster)
Lineage: Eukaryota; Metazoa; Chordata; Mammalia; Rodentia; Cricetidae
Source: RNAcentral
ACUAAAGACCUUUAAAUGCUUGAACC